Molecule: ribosomal RNA, 287 nt
Filed under: uncultured bacterium
Lineage: Bacteria
Description: partial 16S ribosomal RNA
Rfam family: Bacterial small subunit ribosomal RNA
Source: RNAcentral
GGAUUAGAUACCCUGGUAGUCCACGCUGUAAACGAUGGAUACUAGCUGUUGGAUUUUCGGAUUCAGUGGCCAAGCGAAAGUGAUAAGUAUCCCACCUGGGGAGUACGUUCGCAAGAAUGAAACUCAAAGGAAUUGACGGGGGCCCGCACAAGCGGUGGAGCAUGUGGUUUAAUUCGAUGAUACGCGAGGAACCUUACCAGGGCUUAAAUGUAGUGGGACAGGGGUGGAAACACUCUUUUCUUCGGACUCAUUACAAGGUGCUGCAUGGUUGUCGUCAGCUCGUGUUG